AAUAGGAAAAUGACAAAUCAAGUUUUUUUCUCUUGAACUUUAAUUUUUUUUUUCUUCUGAAACAAUUUAAAUCUAACUGAAAAUACUCAAAAUCAAGAGGAAAAAUCUGAUUUGUCAUUCUCUUAUU
This is a non-coding RNA of Gossypium hirsutum (cotton), 127 nucleotides long. Lineage: Eukaryota; Viridiplantae; Streptophyta; Magnoliopsida; Malvales; Malvaceae. The record is from Rfam.